RNAcentral lists this ribosomal RNA (460 nucleotides) under uncultured bacterium. Its description in RNAcentral is "partial 16S ribosomal RNA". It matches the Rfam family "Bacterial small subunit ribosomal RNA", at positions 338 to 795 of the family's 1533-position model. The record is from RNAcentral.
CCUACGUGAGGCUGCAGUGAGGACUAUUGGUCAAUGGGCGCGAGCCUGAACCAGCCAAGUAGCGUGAAGGAUGACUGCCCUACGGGUUGUCAACUUCUUUUAUAAAGGACUAAAGUGAGGCACGUGUGCCUUUUUGUAUGUACUUUAUGCAUAAGGAUCGGCUAACUCCGUGCCAGCAGCCGCGGUAAUACGGCGGAUCCGAGCGUUAUCCGGAUUUAUUGGGUUUAAAGGUAGCGUAGAUGGGUUGUUAAGUCAGUUGUGAAAGUUUGCGGCUCAACCGUAAAAUUGCAAUUGAUACUGGCAGCCUUGAGUACAGUUGAGGUAGGCGGAAUUCGUGGUGUAGCGGGGAAAUGCUUAGAUAUCACGAAGAACUCCGAUUGCGAAGGCAGCUUACUAAACUGCCACUGACAUUGAUGCUCGAAAGUGUGGGUAUCAAACAGGAUUAGAUACCCCUGUAGUC